Molecule: transfer RNA, 73 nt
Filed under: Stegodyphus mimosarum
Lineage: Eukaryota; Metazoa; Arthropoda; Arachnida; Araneae; Eresidae
Rfam family: tRNA
About the family: Transfer RNA (tRNA) molecules are approximately 80 nucleotides in length. Their secondary structure includes four short double-helical elements and three loops (D, anti-codon, and T loops). Further hydrogen bonds mediate the characteristic L-shaped molecular structure. tRNAs have two regions of fundamental functional importance: the anti-codon, which is responsible for specific mRNA codon recognition, and the 3' end, to which the tRNAs corresponding amino acid is attached (by aminoacyl-tRNA synthetases). tRNAs cope with the degeneracy of the genetic code in two manners: having more than one tRNA (with a specific anti-codon) for a particular amino acid; and 'wobble' base-pairing, i.e. permitting non-standard base-pairing at the 3rd anti-codon position.
Source: Rfam by way of RNAcentral
UCCUUCAUGGUGUAGCGGUCAGCACGCUCGACGUGUAACCGAGAGGUCCGUGGUUCGAUUCCCGGCGAAGGCG